This 45-nucleotide non-coding RNA is filed under the name Schistosoma mansoni. The record is from RNAcentral. Lineage: Eukaryota; Metazoa; Platyhelminthes; Trematoda; Strigeidida; Schistosomatidae.
AUCAGGCUGAUGAGUUCUAAAUAGGACGAAACGCGCGUCUUGGAU